Molecule: ribosomal RNA, 500 nt
Filed under: uncultured bacterium
Lineage: Bacteria
Description: partial 16S ribosomal RNA
Rfam family: Bacterial small subunit ribosomal RNA
Source: RNAcentral
AUUGAACGCUGGCGGCAUGCCUUACACAUGCAAGUCGAACGGCAGCACGGGAGCAAUCCUGGUGGCGAGUGGCGAACGGGUGAGUAAAGUAUCGGAACGUGCCCAGUCGUGGGGGAUAACGUAGCGAAAGUUACGCUAAUACCGCCUACGAUCUAUGGAUGAAAGCGGGGGAUCGCAAGACCUCGCGCGAUUGGAGCGGCCGAUAUCAGAUUAGGUAGUUGGGGGGGUAAAGGCUCACCAAGCCGACGAUCUGUAGCGGGUCUGAGAGGACGACCAGCCACACUGGGACUGAGACACGGCCCAGACUCGUACGGGAGGCAGCAGUGGGGAAUUUUGGACAAUGGGCGCAAGCCUGAUCCAGCCAUGCCGCGUGCAGGAUGAAGGCCUUCGGGUUGUAAACUGCUUUUGUCAGGGAAGAAAUCCCUUGGGAUAAUACCUCGGGGGGAUGACGGUACCUGAAGAAUAAGCACCGGCUAACUACGUGCCAGCCGCCGCAGUAA